GCGGUUGUAGCUCAGUUGGUUAGAGUAGGCGUUUGUGGUGCGCUUGGUCGUGGGUUCGAGUCCCAUCAUCCGCC
RNAcentral lists this transfer RNA (74 nucleotides) under Bacteroidota bacterium. Its description in RNAcentral is "tRNA-His". It matches the Rfam family "tRNA". From Rfam's summary of the family: Transfer RNA (tRNA) molecules are approximately 80 nucleotides in length. The record is from RNAcentral. Lineage: Bacteria; Pseudomonadati; Bacteroidota. RNAcentral also lists the same sequence under 7 other names.